This is a long non-coding RNA of Eublepharis macularius, 294 nucleotides long. RefSeq lists it as uncharacterized. The transcript has 2 exons. NCBI's taxonomy places the organism in Eukaryota, Metazoa, Chordata, Lepidosauria, Squamata, Eublepharidae. The record is from RefSeq and is a predicted model, not a curated record.
AAACCAAUUCAAACACAUCACUCAGUUGGCAAACGACGAAAUCAUACCAUGCACUCUCCACAGAAUUUGAAACAAGAGAGAGAAUGAAAAGACACUGAAGCCUAGAGAUUUACACGUGGCUUGUGAGGAAGCACAUUGUGCGAAACGGGAUUUGAUUUUCAAGCCGGCAAACCUGUUGCCACCUCCCUCCAGGAGUUUGGGAAUCCUUUACAACCCUCCGGUUGAUCUUGUUUUACUGUUGUGCCUUAUAUUGAGUUCUGAAGAAGAGAACAUUAAACUUUAUUUCAAACUUCA